Molecule: ribosomal RNA, 770 nt
Filed under: uncultured bacterium
Lineage: Bacteria
Description: bacterial SSU rRNA
Rfam family: Bacterial small subunit ribosomal RNA
Source: RNAcentral
AGAGUUUGAUCCUGGCUCAGAACGAACGCUGGCGGCGUGCUUAACACAUGCAAGUCGAGUGCGCGGUUGUAGCAAUACAACUGGCGCACGGCGCACGGGUGCGUAACACGUGGGUAACCUGCCCUUUGGUGGGGAAUAACUCCGCGAAAGCGGAGCUAAUUCCGCAUAAGAUCCGCAAGGAUGAAAGCCGCAAGGCGCCGAAGGAGGGGCCCGCGCCCGAUUAGCUAGUUGGUAGGGUAACGGCCUACCAAGGCUUUGAUCGGUAGCUGGUCUGAGAGGAUGAUCAGCCACACUGGAACUGAGACACGGUCCAGACUCCUACGGGAGGCAGCAGUGGGGAAUCUUGCACAAUGGGCGAAAGCCUGAUGCAGCGACGCCGCGUGGGGGAUGAAGCAUUUCGGUGUGUAAACCCCUUUCGAUCCGGACGAAACCCCGCAAGGGAUUGACGGUACGGAUAUAAGAAGCCCCGGCUAACUACGUGCCAGCAGCCGCGGUAAGACGUAGGGGGCCAGCGUUGUUCGGAAUUACUGGGUGUAAAGGGUUCGUAGGCGGUGCGGCAAGUUGGGAGUGAAAUCUCUGGGCUUAACCCAGAGGCUGCUUCCAAAACUGCUGUGCUUGAGUGUGGGAGAGGCGCGUGGAAUUGCAGGUGCAGCGGUGAAAUGCGUAGAUAUCUGCAGGAACACCCGUGGCGAAAGCGGCGCGCUGGACCACUACUGACGCUGAGGAACGAAAGCUAGGGGAGCAAACAGGAUUAGAUACCCUCGUAGUCC